Molecule: ribosomal RNA, 244 nt
Filed under: uncultured Staphylococcus sp.
Lineage: Bacteria; Bacillati; Bacillota; Bacilli; Caryophanales; Staphylococcaceae
Description: partial 16S ribosomal RNA
Rfam family: Bacterial small subunit ribosomal RNA
Source: RNAcentral
CGGCGGACGGGUGAGUAACACGUGGAUAACCUACCUAUAAGACUGGGAUAACUUCGGGAAACCGGAGCUAAUACCGGAUAAUAUAUUGAACCGCAAGGUUCAAUAGUGAAAGACGGUUUUGCUGUCACUUAUAGAUGGAUCCGCGCCGCAUUAGCUAGUUGGUAAGGUAACGGCUUACCAAGGCAACGAUGCGUAGCCGACCUGAGAGGGUGAUCGGCCACACUGGAACUGAGACACGGUCCAG